AACGCUAGCUACAGGCUUAACACAUGCAAGUCGAGGGGCAGCACAGUGUAGCAAUACAUGGGUGGCGACCGGCGCACGGGUGCGUAACGCGUAUCCAACCUUCCCGUUACUCUUGGAUAGCCUUCCGAAAGGGAGAUUAAUACAAGAUGGUAUUCAAAUUCCGCAUGUUAUUUGAAUUAAAGAUUUAUCGGUAACGGAUGGGGAUGCGUGACAUUAGAUAGUAGGCGGGGUAACGGCCCACCUAGUCUACGAUGUCUAGGGGUUCUGAGAGGAAGGUCCCCCACACUGGAACUGAGACACGGUCCAGACUCCUACGGGAGGCAGCAGUGAGGAAUAUUGGUCAAUGGUCGGAAGACUGAACCAGCCAAGUAGCGUGAAGGAUGAAGGUUCUAUGGAUUGUAAACUUCUUUUAUACGGGAAUAAAACACCUUACGUGUAGGGUCUUGUAUGUACCGUAUGAAUAAGCAUCGGCUAACUCCGUGCCAGCAGCCGCGGUAAUACGGAGGAUGCGAGCGUUAUCCGGAUUUAUUGGGUUUAAAGGGAGCGUAGACGGGAUGUUAAGUCAGUUGUGAAAGGCUGCGGCUCAACCGCAGCACUGCAGUUGAUACUGGCGUCCUUGAGUGCGGUUGAGGUAUGUGGAAUUCGUGGUGUAGCGGUGAAAUGCUUAGAUAUCACGAAGAACUCCGAUUG
Molecule: ribosomal RNA, 690 nt
Filed under: uncultured bacterium
Lineage: Bacteria
Description: bacterial SSU rRNA
Rfam family: Bacterial small subunit ribosomal RNA
Source: RNAcentral